UACGUAGGGUGCGAGCGUUAAUCGGAAUUACUGGGCGUAAAGCGUGCGCAGGCGGCUUUGCAAGACAGAUGUGAAAUCCCCGGGCUCAACCUGGGAACUGCAUUUGUGACUGCAAGGCUAGAGUACGGCAGAGAGGGAUGGAAUUCCGCGUGUAGCAGUGAAAUGCGUAGAUAUGCGGAGGAACACCAAUGGCGAAGGCAAUCCCCUGGGCCUGUACUGACGCUCAUGCACGAAAGCGUGGGGAGCAAACAGG
This 253-nucleotide ribosomal RNA is filed under the name uncultured bacterium. RNAcentral describes it as "partial 16S ribosomal RNA". It matches the Rfam family "Bacterial small subunit ribosomal RNA", at positions 524 to 776 of the family's 1533-position model. The record is from RNAcentral.